GAUGAAGAACGCAGCGAAAUGCGAUACUUGGUGUGAAUUGCAGAAUCCCGUGAACCAUCGAGUCUUUGAACGCAAGUUGCGCCCGAAGCCAUUAGGCCGAGGGCACGCCUGCCUGGGCGUCACACGUCGUUGCCCCCCCAUCUACUCCUUCGGGAUUGCGGGGGGCGGAUGAUGGCCUCCCGUGCGCCUCGCCGCGCGGUUGGCAUAAAUGCCAAGUCCUCGGCGACGCACGCCACGACAAUCGGUGGUUGCGAAACCUCGGUUGCCCGUCGUGUGCGGUCGUCGCGCAUCGAGGGCUCGAAAAAAUUGCCGGGCUCCGGCUCGACUUUCAACGCGACCCCAGGUCAGGCGGGGUUACCCGCUGAAUUUAAGCAUAUCAAUAAGCGGAGGA
This 391-nucleotide unclassified non-coding RNA is filed under the name soil metagenome. RNAcentral describes it as "partial contains 5.8S ribosomal RNA, internal transcribed spacer 2, and large subunit ribosomal RNA". The stretch from base 1 to 122 matches the Rfam family "5.8S ribosomal RNA", at positions 35 to 154 of the family's 154-position model. The record is from RNAcentral.